Molecule: ribosomal RNA, 253 nt
Filed under: uncultured bacterium
Lineage: Bacteria
Description: partial 16S ribosomal RNA
Rfam family: Bacterial small subunit ribosomal RNA
Source: RNAcentral
GCCGGAGGAGGCAAGCGUUAUCCGGAAUUAUUGGGCGUAAAGGGUACGUAGGCGGCUGGUCAAGUCUGGGGUCAAAGGCCACAGCUCAACUGUGAGAAGGCCCUGGAAACUGACCGGCUAGAGUGAGGUAGGGGUUGCGGGAAUUCCCGGUGUAGCGGUGAAAUGCGUAGAGAUCGUGAAGAACACCUGAGGCGGAAGCACGCAACUGGGCCUCAACUGACGCUGAGGUACGAAAGCUAGGGGAGAGAAUGGG